RNAcentral lists this ribosomal RNA (548 nucleotides) under uncultured Glomus. RNAcentral describes it as "SSU rRNA". It matches the Rfam family "Eukaryotic small subunit ribosomal RNA", at positions 548 to 1098 of the family's 1831-position model. The record is from RNAcentral. Lineage: Eukaryota; Fungi; Glomeromycota; Glomeromycetes; Glomerales; Glomeraceae.
UUGGAGGGCAAGUCUGGUGCCAGCAGCCGCGGUAAUUCCAGCUCCAAUAGCGUAUAUUAAAGUUGUUGCAGUUAAAAAGCUCGUAGUUGAAUUUCGGGAUUAGUACGUCGGUCGUGCCUUAGGUACGUACUAGUGUUACUGGUUCCUACCUUCUGACGAACCAUCAUGUCAUUAAUUUGGUGUGGUGGGGAAUCAGGACUGUUACUUUGAAAAAAUUAGAGUGUUUAAAGCAGGCUCGUGCUUGAAUACAUUAGCAUGGAAUAAUGAAAUAGGACGUUGAUCCUAUUUUGUUGGUUUCUAGGAUUGACGUAAUGAUUAAUAGGGAUAGUUGGGGGCAUUAGUAUUCAAUUGUCAGAGGUGAAAUUCUUGGAUUUAUUGAAGACUAACUACUGCGAAAGCAUUUGCCAAGGAUGUUUUCAUUAAUCAAGAACGAAAGUUAGGGGAUCGAAGGCGAUCAGAUACCGUCGUAGUCUUAACCAUAAACUAUGCCGACUAGGGAUCGGAUGAUGUUAAUUUUUUAAUGACUCAUUCGGCGCCUUACGGGAAAC